Molecule: non-coding RNA, 202 nt
Organism: Pelobates cultripes (western spadefoot toad)
Lineage: Eukaryota; Metazoa; Chordata; Amphibia; Anura; Pelobatidae
Source: the annotation of a GenBank genome assembly
CUGGCUUUUAUGCAAGUCCCCAUGCAAGGGGACAUCCCACAGGGAGGGACAUAGUACAACCAAUCGUUUACAGGAAAAAUGUAAAACACUCCCAGCACCAACAUACAAUUCCCUCCCCUAGUCCUGGAAAUAAUCAAGUCUGAUAAAGUAAUAACUUGAUUAUCUCCAGGCAGAAAAAUUAAAAAUUUUCCCCAAUAUUCAG